UCCGCAUCGCCCUGGGCCGCGGCCAGGCUGAACCACUUGAAGGAUUCAGCGAGGUUCUGCUCCACGCCGAUGCCGCGGGCGUAGAGGAUUCCGAGAUUGUAUUGGCUGGUCCGUUCGGCUGCCUUGCGGAACCAUUGCGACGCGCUCUUGUAGUUCGGUCCCGCGCCGCCGCCAUCGGCAUCGAGCACGGCAAGGUUAUGCAUGGCCUUGGCGCUGCCCUUCUCGGCGGCCUGCACGUAGUAGCCGC
Molecule: unclassified non-coding RNA, 247 nt
Filed under: Hevea brasiliensis (rubber tree)
Lineage: Eukaryota; Viridiplantae; Streptophyta; Magnoliopsida; Malpighiales; Euphorbiaceae
Source: RNAcentral